GACAGACACUGGUGUAGUUGGAUAUGGGACAGACAGAGAGACACAGACACUGGUGUAGUUGGAUAUGGGACAGACAGACACUGGUGUAGUUGGAUAUGGGACAGACAGACACUGACAGACACUGGUGUAGUUGGAUAUGGGACAGACAGACACUGGUGUAGUUGGAUAUGGGACAGACAGAGAGACACAGACACUGGUGUAGUUGCCUAUGGGACACUAGACUAACACCCUCCAUGUGAUUGUCUGAAAUGACACCCUAUUCCCUACAUAGUGCAUAGGGCCCAUAGGGCUCUGGUCAAAAGUAGUGCACUAUGCAGGGAAUAGGGUGCUACGGCCAUAGGGCUCUGGUCAAAAGUAGUGCACUAUGCAGGGAAUAGGGGGCUGUUUCGGACACCGCUUGUCUGUCUGUGGAGUGUAAAGAUGUGUUGAUUCUAAUCACAAUCUUUUUGUAAAUUGCAUCAAAAUGUUUAAAUGUCUCCAUCGGAUUUAAGUUAUUGUACAACUGGAAGAUGAUUGGCUGAUGUCUUAAUGAUCCUCUCAGGUGGUCACUGCUUUGAUUGGACGGGAUGAAAUGGUGCACAAUGAAGGUCCACCUCUGUGAAUGGCUGUUAUGUUGAUGGGGGCGGGUCUGACCUGCUCUCUCUCUCUGUUUCUAUUGGUCACAUUAGUGAUCCGUCUGUCUGUAACUGCAGCUACUGUCUCAAAAGGCCUCCUUUUGGUCGUUACUAGUUAAUACAGCCACAAAGUCAUAAUUAUGGCCAAACCCCGUCUAUUUCUAAAAUGUUUAUUCUUAAAAUCUGAUUUUAAACCUAACCACAAUGAUAACCUAAUACCUAACCUUAAAUGAAGACCAAAAAGCACAUGUUUGUUUUCAUGAAUUUUUUUACGAUAUAGCCAAUGCCCUGACUUUGUGGCUGUGAUACAGACAGGAAGUACACUAAACUACAGGAAGUGCCAGGUCACAUGACAGAACAAUUAUAGAAUGAAGUGCAGGUUCUAGAACCAUCUCUGGACCAGUUGGCCAUGUAGCUCCUGAUUUGAGGGUGGGGACGGACACUUGUUUAACACCAAUGCAUUCUAUUUUACCGUCAUUACGUCCCUAAUGGCACCGAUAUGCCCUCUGUAGUGCACUACUUUUGGCCAGACCACUGUCCAUAGGACCUUGCGGUAGACUAGCAUCCUGUUUAGGGGGUGUACUUGUACAUCAAGCUGCCUCACACUACAGAAACAGGAGAUAGACUAGCGUCCUGCCUCACUACAGAAACAGGAGAUAGACUAGUGUCCUGCCUCACUACAGAAACAGGAGAUAGACUAGUGUCCUGCCUCACUACAGAAACAGGAGAUAGACUAGUGUCCUGCCUCACACUACAGAAACAGGAGAUAGACUAGCAUCCUGCCUCACUACAGAAACAGGAGAUAGACUAGCAUCCUGCCUCACUACAGAAACAGGAGAUAGACUAGCGUCCUGU
Molecule: long non-coding RNA, 1469 nt
Organism: Oncorhynchus tshawytscha (Chinook salmon)
Lineage: Eukaryota; Metazoa; Chordata; Actinopteri; Salmoniformes; Salmonidae
Source: Ensembl